GGAGGGUGCAAGCGUUGUUCGGAUUCACUGGGGCGUAAAGGGCGUGUAGGCGGAGAUGUAAGCUGGGAGGUGAAAGACCCCCGGGGCUCAAACCCGGGGGAAUUGCUCCCAGAACUGCAUUUCUAGAGAGAGUCAGAGGCAGGUGGAAUUCCAGGUGUAGAGGUGAAAUUCGUAGAGAUCUGGAGGAACACCGGCGGCGAAGGCGGCCUGCUGGGACUCUUCUGACGCUGAGGCGCGAAAGCGUGGGGAGCAAACAGGAUUAGAUACCCUGGUAGUCCACGCCGUAAACGAUGAGCACUCGAUGUGCGAGGUACGACCCCUCGCGUGUCACAGCUAACGCAAUAAGUGCUCCGCCUGGGGACUACGGUCGCGAGACUA
RNAcentral lists this ribosomal RNA (378 nucleotides) under uncultured organism. Its description in RNAcentral is "partial 16S ribosomal RNA". It matches the Rfam family "Bacterial small subunit ribosomal RNA", at positions 527 to 896 of the family's 1533-position model. The record is from RNAcentral.